RNAcentral lists this long non-coding RNA (1023 nucleotides) under Cyanistes caeruleus (blue tit). RNAcentral's name for it is "lncRNA (ENSCCEG00000001271.1)". Lineage: Eukaryota; Metazoa; Chordata; Aves; Passeriformes; Paridae. The record is from RNAcentral.
CAAAAUGGCCAAAAACCGCCCAAAAUUCACCCAAAAAGGCCAAAAUUCACCCAAAAUUCACCCAAAAUGGCCAAAAAUCGCCCAAAAUUCACCCAAAAUGGCCAAAAAUCGCCCAAAAUUCACCCAAAAUGGCCAAAAUUCACCCAAAAUGGCCAAAAAUCGCCCAAAAUUCACCCAAAAUGCCCCAAAUUCACCCAAAAUUCACCCAAAAUGGCCAAAAAUCGCCCAAAAAUCACCCAAAAUGGCCAAAAAUCGCCCAAAAUUCACCCAAAAUUGGGGUUUUUGUGACCCUGGGAUACCCAAAAUUCACCCAAAAAGUCCCAAAUUCACCCAAAAUUGGGGUUUUUGUGACCCUGGGAUACCCAAAAUGCCCAAAAUUCACCCAAAAAGUCCCAAAUUCACCCAAAAUUGGGGUUUUUGUGACCCCGGGGGUCCAAAAAUGCUCCAAAUUCACCCAAAAUGUCCCAAAUUCACCCAAAAAGUCCCAAAUUCAACCAAAAUUUACCCAAAAUUCACCCAAAAUUCACCAAAAAUGCCCAAAAUUCACCCAAAAUGGCCCAAAUUCACCCAAAAUUCACCCAAAAUUUGGGGGUUUCAAACCUGGGACCCCCAAAAUUCCCCAGAAAAAAUUCGGGGAGGGGUCCCGGGAGGUUUUGGGGGGUCCCAGAGCCCAAAUUUGGGGAAAUUUUGGGGAAUUUUGGGGGUUUUUGGGAAAAUUUGGGGAUUUUGGGGGGGUCUUGGGGGUCACAGACCCCAAAUUUGGGGGAAUUUUGGGGUUUUUAGGGAAAAUUUGGGGGGUUUUGGGGGGUCCUGGGGGUCAGAGACCCCAAAUUUGGGGGAAUUUUGGGGAUUUUAGGGAAAAUUUGGGGGAAUUUUGGGGGUCCUGGGGGUCAGAGACCCCAAAUUUGGUUUUUUUGGGGGGGAAUUUGGGGGAUUUUUGGGAAAAUUUGGGGGAAUUUGGGGAUUUUGGGGCGGUCUUGGGGGUCACAGACCCCAAAUUUGGGGAAAUUUCGGGAUUUUUGG